This 1118-nucleotide non-coding RNA is filed under the name Pan troglodytes (chimpanzee). Lineage: Eukaryota; Metazoa; Chordata; Mammalia; Primates; Hominidae. The record is from RNAcentral.
AGGAACUGGAGCUGCUGCCUCUGUCUGCUAAGAUGUGAAGUCCAAGACUGAAAGUAACAUAGCAGAAGGAGAACCAAAAGAUAUGUUGAGUCUUGAUGCUAUUUGUUGAACCAGUCCUGAAUCCAGCUGUGUCGGAGUCAGCGCAGCUUUUGAAGCUGGAGAGCAUCAUAUUUUAGAAAGAUCAAGCAAUGUGGAUGAGGACACAUUAAAAAGAGAAGACCUGGAGGAGGGGACACCACUCAGGCUUAUAACCUCCAGCUCACAUUUCAGCACCAAAGGACCAAAGCCUAGACCUGAGAUGUGGCACUUGCAAAAAGAAAGAUCACCUGGAAGAACAAAAUAGAAGACUCCUGCUCCCAAUAGGCUUGGGUCAGGAAGAAGGCUGUUGGCAUAAUUGUGGAGUAGGAAGAUGGAAAACAACUCCUAGAGAUCCCAACAGCUGAACGCGUGCUUGGGCAGUGGCUGCAGGUGAAGUCAUGGGAAGGCAAGUCAUGAAGGGCAUUAAUCAAGGUCUGUUGUGGGGAAAGUGAGAUGAUGUGAGUCCUUGUUCACACAGUAGGUGCCCAGAAAACCUUGGUGCUUUUCCUCUUCCCUUCCCUGAAGCUGAACUUCUGCAGAAAAAUCCAAGAGAGUGGACUGAUCAAGUUGAAAGCAACAGAACAAGCAUCUAUAAGAAUUGAUUAUAUGUCCCAGCAUUUCGGGAGGCUGAGGCAAGUGGAUCCCUUGGGCCUAGGACUUCGCGAGACCAGUUGGGCAACAUGAACAAGAUGGAAGAAACUACGGUCACAUAUGCAAAUGGAGAAGAUGAUGAACACAGAAAAAUUAUGCAAAGAUAAUCCCUAAACCUUCUUUCUCAUCAAAAGUUAUAGCAAGGCGGUUUAAUAUAUCACUGACGGAACAUGAUGCUUUGUUUAAUGAAGACUCAGACGGAAAGGAUCAGACAUCAACCUAUAAAUGCAUCAACCAGAAGGAAAGACCAAUUUUGAAAACUGUUGACCAUUAUUCUAUACCUCUAGCUGUUCUUUUCUGAACCAUGAAUCGGGAGAAUUAUUGUCACUCAUACAUGAGUAUGAGUUGUAAUUCUCAAUUCCCAAGUAAAAAUCUUCCUGCUUUUGUUA